GCCCGUUGGUCAAGCGGUUAAGACACCGCCCUUUCACGGCGGUAACACGGGUUCGAAUCCCGUACGGGUA
This 70-nucleotide transfer RNA is filed under the name Listeria monocytogenes. RNAcentral's name for it is "tRNA-Glu". It matches the Rfam family "tRNA". Rfam says of the family: Transfer RNA (tRNA) molecules are approximately 80 nucleotides in length. Their secondary structure includes four short double-helical elements and three loops (D, anti-codon, and T loops). The record is from RNAcentral. Lineage: Bacteria; Bacillati; Bacillota; Bacilli; Caryophanales; Listeriaceae.